GGGACACGUGGUAUCCUGUCUGAAUAUGGGGGGACCAUCCUCCAAGGCUAAAUACUCCUGACUGACCGAUAGUGAACCAGUACCGUGAGGGAAAGGCGAAAAGAACCCCGGCGAGGGGAGUGAAAAAGAACCUGAAACCGUGUACGUACAAGCAGUGGGAGCACGCUUAGGCGUGUGACUGCGUACCUUUUGUAUAAUGGGUCAGCGACUUAUAUUCUGUAGCAAGGUUAACCGAAUAGGGGAGCCGAAGGGAAACCGAGUCUUAACUGGGCGUUAAGUUGCAGGGUAUAGACCCGAAACCCGGUGAUCUAGCCAUGGGCAGGUUGAAGGUUGGGUAACACUAACUGGAGGACCGAACCGACUAAUGUUGAAAAAUUAGCGGAUGACUUGUGGCUGGGGGUGAAAGGCCAAUCAAACCGGGAGAUAGCUGGUUCUCCCCGAAAGCUAUUUAGGUAGCGCCUCGUGAAUUCAUCUCCGGGGGUAGAGCACUGUUUCGGCAAGGGGGUCAUCCCGACUUACCAACCCGAUGCAAACUGCGAAUACCGGAGAAUGUUAUCACGGGAGACACACGGCGGGUGCUAACGUCCGUCGUGAAGAGGGAAACAACCCAGACCGCCAGCUAAGGUCCCAAAGUCAUGGUUAAGUGGGAAACGAUGUGGGAAGGCCCAGACAGCCAGGAUGUUGGCUUAGAAGCAGCCAUCAUUUAAAGAAAGCGUAAUAGCUCACUGGUCGAGUCGGCCUGCGCGGAAGAUGUAACGGGGCUAAACCAUGCACCGAAGCUGCGGCAGCGACGCUGAUGCGUUGUUGGGUAGGGGAGCGUUCUGUAAGCCUGUGAAGGUGUGCUGUGAGGCAUGCUGGAGGUAUCAGAAGUGCGAAUGCUGACAUAAGUAACGAUAAAGCGGGUGAAAAGCCCGCUCGCCGGAAGACCAAGGGUUCCUGUCCAACGUUAAUCGGGGCAGGGUGAGUCGACCCCUAAGGCGAGGCCGAAAGGCGUAGUCGAUGGGAAACAGGUUAAUAUUCCUGUACUUGGUGUUACUGCGAAGGGGGGACGGAGAAGGCUAUGUUGGCCGGGCGACGGUUGUCCCGGUUUAAGCGUGUAGGCUGGUUUUCCAGGCAAAUCCGGAAAAUCAAGGCUGAGGCGUGAUGACGAGGCACUACGGUGCUGAAGCAACAAAUGCCCUGCUUCCAGGAAAAGCCUCUAAGCAUCAGGUAACAUCAAAUCGUACCCCAAAC
Molecule: ribosomal RNA, 1233 nt
Filed under: Escherichia coli
Lineage: Bacteria; Pseudomonadati; Pseudomonadota; Gammaproteobacteria; Enterobacterales; Enterobacteriaceae
Description: partial 23S ribosomal RNA
Rfam family: Bacterial large subunit ribosomal RNA
Source: RNAcentral